UACGAAGGGGGCUAGCGUUGUUCGGAAUUACUGGGCGUAAAGCGCACGUAGGCGGAUAUUUAAGUCAGGGGUGAAAUCCCAGAGCUCAACUCUGGAACUGCCUUUGAUACUGGGUAUCUUGAGUAUGGAAGAGGUAAGUGGAAUUGCGAGUGUAGAGGUGAAAUUCGUAGAUAUUCGCAGGAACACCAGUGGCGAAGGCGGCUUACUGGUCCGGUACUGACGCUGAGGUGCGAAAGCGUGG
RNAcentral lists this ribosomal RNA (241 nucleotides) under uncultured bacterium. RNAcentral's name for it is "partial 16S ribosomal RNA". It matches the Rfam family "Bacterial small subunit ribosomal RNA", at positions 524 to 764 of the family's 1533-position model. The record is from RNAcentral.